RNAcentral lists this ribosomal RNA (2921 nucleotides) under Lactiplantibacillus plantarum. Its description in RNAcentral is "LSU rRNA". It matches the Rfam family "Bacterial large subunit ribosomal RNA". The record is from RNAcentral. Lineage: Bacteria; Bacillati; Bacillota; Bacilli; Lactobacillales; Lactobacillaceae.
GGUUAAGUUAACAAGGGCGCAUGGUGAAUGCCUUGGCACUAGGAGCCGAUGAAGGACGGGACUAACACCGAUAUGCUUCGGGGAGCUGUACGUAAGCUAUGAUCCGGAGAUUUCCGAAUGGGGCAACCCAGCAGUUUUAAUCAACUGUUACCACUAGAUGAAUUCAUAGUCUAGUUGGAGGUAAACGCUGUGAACUGAAACAUCUCAUUAGCAGCAGGAAUAUAAAGAAAUUUCGAUUCCCUAAGUAGCGGCGAGCGAACGGGGAACAGCCCAAACCAAAGUGCUUGCACUUUGGGGUUGUAGGACUGAACAUUUGAGUUACCAAAGAACUUGAUAGUCGAAGGAUUUGGGAAAAUCCGCCAUAGAUGGUGAUAGCCCAGUAGAUUAAAUCAAAUUCUCUCAGUUCAGGAUCCUGAGUACGGCGGAACACGUGAAAUUCCGUCGGAAUCCGGGAGGACCAUCUCCCAAGGCUAAAUACUACCUAGUGACCGAUAGUGAACCAGUACCGUGAGGGAAAGGUGAAAAGCACCCCGGGAGGGGAGUGAAAUAGUUCCUGAAACCAUGUGCCUACAAUAAGUCAGAGCGCGUUAAUGCGUGAUGGCGUGCCUUUUGUAGAAUGAACCGGCGAGUUAUGAUCCCGUGCAAGGUUAAGACUAAAAAGUCGGAGCCGUAGCGAAAGCGAGUCUGAAAUGGGCGUUUUGAGUACGAGGUUAUAGACCCGAAACCAGGUGACCUAUCCAUGUCCAGGUUGAAGGUGCGGUAAAACGCACUGGAGGACCGAACCCGUGUAAGUUGAAAAUUGCUGGGAUGAGGUGUGGAUAGCGGUGAAAUUCCAAACGAACUUGGAGAUAGCUGGUUCUCUCCGAAAUAGCUUUAGGGCUAGCCUCGGAAUUAGGAUCAUGGAGGUAGAGCACUAUUUGGACUAGGGGCCCGUCUUGGGUUACUGAAUUCAGAUAAACUCCGAAUGCCAUUGAUUCAUAUCCGGGAGUCAGACGAUGAGUGAUAAGAUCCACCGUCGAAAGGGGAACAGCCCAGACCAUCAGUUAAGGUCCCUAAAUGUAUGCUAAGUGGAAAAGGAUGUGGAGUUGCAUAGACAACUAGGAUGUUGGCUCAGAAGCAGCCACCAUUUAAAGAGUGCGUAAUAGCUCACUAGUCGAGUGAUUCUGCGCCGAAAAUGUACCGGGGCUAAGCAUACUACCGAAACCAUGGAUGCGACCAUUAGGUCGCGUGAUAGGAGAGCGUUCUAAGGGCGGUGAAGCAAGAUCGUGAGGACUUGUGGAGCGCUUAGAAGUGAGAAUGCCGGUAUGAGUAGCGAAAGAUAGGUGAGAAUCCUAUCCACCGAAUGACUAAGGUUUCCUGGGGAAGGCUCGUCCUCCCAGGGUUAGUCGGGACCUAAGUCGAGGCCGAGAGGCGUAGACGAUGGAUAACAGGUUGAGAUUCCUGUACUAGUUAAGUGCGUUUGAGCAAUGGAGGGACGCAGGAGGCUAAGAUGUGCAUUCUGUUGGAUUAGAAUGUCCAAGCAGUAAGUCUUGUGAAGAGUCAAAUGCUUUUCACUUUAAGGACAAGCUGUGAUGGGGAGCGAAAUUUAGUAGCGAAGCGUCUGAUGUCACACUGCCGAGAAAAGCUUCUAGUGAGUACUUAACUACCCGUACCGCAAACCGACACAGGUAGUCGAGGAGAGAAUCCUAAGGUGAGCGAGUGAACUCUCGUUAAGGAACUCGGCAAAAUGACCCCGUAACUUCGGGAGAAGGGGUGCUGAUCGCAAGAUCAGCCGCAGUGAAUAGGCCCAGGCGACUGUUUAUCAAAAACACAGGUCUCUGCAAAAUCGUAAGAUGACGUAUAGGGGCUGACGCCUGCCCGGUGCUGGAAGGUUAAAAGGAUGGGUUAGCUUCGGCGAAGCUCAGAAUUGAAGCCCCAGUAAACGGCGGCCGUAACUAUAACGGUCCUAAGGUAGCGAAAUUCCUUGUCGGGUAAGUUCCGACCCGCACGAAAGGCGUAACGAUCUGGGCACUGUCUCAACGAGAGACUCGGUGAAAUUAUAUUGUCCGUGAAGAUGCGGACUACCCGCGACAGGACGGAAAGACCCCAUGGAGCUUUACUGUAGCUUGAUAUUGAGUGUUUGUACAGCUUGUACAGGAUAGGUAGGAGCCAUAGAAACCGGAACGCUAGUUUCGGUGGAGGCGUUGGUGGGAUACUACCCUCGCUGUAUGACCACUCUAACCCGCACCACUAAUCGUGGUGGGAGACAGUGUCAGGUGGGCAGUUUGACUGGGGCGGUCGCCUCCUAAAAAGUAACGGAGGCGCCCAAAGGUUCCCUCAGAAUGGUUGGAAAUCAUUCGCAGAGUGUAAAGGCACAAGGGAGCUUGACUGCGAGACAGACAGGUCGAGCAGGGACGAAAGUCGGGCUUAGUGAUCCGGUGGUACCGUAUGGAAGGGCCAUCGCUCAACGGAUAAAAGCUACCCUGGGGAUAACAGGCUUAUCUCCCCCAAGAGUCCACAUCGACGGGGAGGUUUGGCACCUCGAUGUCGGCUCAUCGCAUCCUGGGGCUGUAGUCGGUCCCAAGGGUUGGGCUGUUCGCCCAUUAAAGCGGUACGCGAGCUGGGUUCAGAACGUCGUGAGACAGUUCGGUCCCUAUCCGUCGCGGGCGUAGGAAAUUUGAGAGGACCUGUCCUUAGUACGAGAGGACCGGGAUGGACAUACCUCUGGUGUACCAGUUGUGCCGCCAGGCGCAUCGCUGGGUAGCUACGUAUGGAUGUGAUAAACGCUGAAAGCAUCUAAGUGUGAAACACACCUCGAGAUGAGAUUUCCCAUUCCUUUAUGGAAGUAAGACCCCUGAAAGAUGAUCAGGUAGAUAGGUUAGAAGUGGCAGUGCGGUGACGCAUGAAGCGGACUAAUACUAAUCGGUCGAGGACUUAACCAA